RNAcentral lists this ribosomal RNA (254 nucleotides) under uncultured bacterium. RNAcentral's name for it is "partial 16S ribosomal RNA". It matches the Rfam family "Bacterial small subunit ribosomal RNA", at positions 524 to 776 of the family's 1533-position model. The record is from RNAcentral.
UACGGGGGGAGCAAGCGUUGUUCGGAUUUACUGGGCGUAAAGGGCGCGUAGGCGGCCACUGCAAGUCAGUUGUGAAAUCUCCGGGCUUAACCCGGAAAGGUCAACUGAUACUGCAGGGCUAGAGUGCAGAAGGGGCAACUGGAAUUCUUGGUGUAGCGGUGAAAUGCGUAGAUAUCAAGAGGAACACCUGAGGUGAAGACGGGUUGCUGGGCUGACACUGACGCUGAGGCGCGAAAGCUAGGGUAGCAAACGGG